Non-coding RNA from Cinara cedri, 301 nucleotides. Lineage: Eukaryota; Metazoa; Arthropoda; Insecta; Hemiptera; Aphididae. The record is from the annotation of a GenBank genome assembly.
AUUUUUUUUUAUUAAGGGUUUCGCGCCAUCACCCUCUAGAAAUCAUGUUCUUUUAUGCAAUACUAUAUGCAUAGUUGGCGUGUUGAAAUGAAUAUUUUAAUUUUAAAAUUACAAUAGUCAGUUCGUCGCGAUGGAAAAAUACGUGACGGUUCGCGGUCGCGGCAAGUUAAUAAACGCGUAAAAUCUCGCCGGAAAAACGGUUAAACCGACUGGAAAACUCGUCUGCGGUCGACAUUUUCGUAAAACGAACGAUCGCGACCCGAUACUUAACAACGUCGUCGUCGUCGUCUUAACGCGUUCC